GACGAAAAAAGCGUAUAAAGGUAUGCUUAGAUGGUUUGGCCAUGUAGAGAGAAUGGGUGAAGAACGAUUGACGAAAAAAGUGUAUAAGGCAAGUGUGGAUGGAAGGGUUGGAAGGGG
Melitaea cinxia (Glanville fritillary) is the source of this 117-nucleotide long non-coding RNA. RefSeq lists it as uncharacterized. The record is from RefSeq and is a predicted model, not a curated record. The transcript is spliced from 3 exons. Lineage: Eukaryota; Metazoa; Arthropoda; Insecta; Lepidoptera; Nymphalidae.